Molecule: long non-coding RNA, 260 nt
Filed under: Bos taurus (domestic cattle)
Lineage: Eukaryota; Metazoa; Chordata; Mammalia; Artiodactyla; Bovidae
Description: long non-coding RNA NONBTAT024967
Source: RNAcentral
AGAAGAGCCUGCAUCUAGAUGGGCCUCGAAGAUGACACGUGUGACAGCAAACUCUUUGCUUCUAGUUCAGCUCACAUCUCCUCCUGGCUCCAUUUGAGGCUUCAUUUCAGACUCUUAACAGGUUUCCUUCUCAAGUGUGUCAACACAAAGUAGACAAAAAGGAUCUCUUCCUCCAGCUCGUUAUCUUUCCCCUCUUGAAGUGAAACUACCUAUGUCAUGUUUGUGUUCUUUCGUCUGUGGCUCAUCUCUAUAAAAUUACA